This 1083-nucleotide long non-coding RNA is filed under the name Lactuca sativa (garden lettuce). RNAcentral's name for it is "long non-coding RNA (LSAT_LNC003422)". Lineage: Eukaryota; Viridiplantae; Streptophyta; Magnoliopsida; Asterales; Asteraceae. The record is from RNAcentral.
AAGGACACUGUUGAAAGCCUAAAAGAGAAGAAGUUUCUAAGCUUCUAAAACACCGGAUGAUGUUUUCUAGAUUUGUUUGAAGUUACCACAUGAACAAUGUCAAUAUUGUACGGUGUCUACUGUUUUCGACCCUGUUAUAAAAAAUAAAAAAUAAAUACAGUGAUCAUGUUACACAUAUUAUCAAAAAACGGAACCACAUGGUUUGUCACACUUGGAAACUACCUAAAUUAUGCAAAAUUCAAAAUACCACUGCCCAAAUUUGCAGUUUAGGAGUGUAUAGAUGAUGCUUUAAAAUCUGCAUCUUGAUAUGUAUAGCAUCGUACUCCUAUGGGAGCUGAUCCGUACACAACAAGAUUUAUCCAUACACAACAAAUUUUAAUAAAUAGACAAUUUUAACCUUUUCUCUAUUUAACCAAAUUUUACACUUUACCCCUUGCUGUGAAGCCACAAAGAUGUACAGUAAACGAUCAAAAAACUAGAACUUCAUUCCAAAUAAGUUCACAUUGAUGUUUGGAUUUGAAGACUGGAUAUAAAUUAGAAAAUUUGAUAACCAUAGACUGAUACAAUAUUGUGCAAGAAACUAUACAAAAUUAGAACAUUGAUAUUAUACAGGGACGAUCACAAAAUAGAAUCAUGAUUAAGCAAUUAUAAAUCAAUUCAUGAUUAUAUAGGAAAUGAUUUCAAAUCAGUUCACAGUUCCAAAUUCGUGCUUUUGCAAACUAGAUAAGAGACGCAUUGAGGUUGCAAUUGUACUGGAACGAUCAGAAAAUUGAAUCCAUAAUUAAUCAAAUCAAAAUCAGUUCAUGAUUUUAGAAGAAAAGAUUGUAAAUUAGUUCACAAUUCCAACUUAGUGCUUUUGCAAAUAAGAUAAGAGACACACUGAUACAGGGAAACGGUCAAAAUUAGAAACAAAAUCGCAAUUGUAACGAAAAUUAGCGCGUACCUAUGAAGCAAGCCUGAAGCAGUUGAUGAACGACGGCAGUGGGAUAAGCCGGAGGCUACAGAGACGAUGAAGCAAGCCGGAGGCGGCAACAAGGUGAAGCAAGCAGUGGACGAUGAUUGAAUUGAAUCCGUAUCUUAUCG